AACGCACAUUGCGCCCAUUAGUAUUCUAUUGGGCAUGCCUGUUCGAGCGUCAUUUCAACCCUUAAGCUCAGCUUAGUGUUGGGAAUCUACCACGAGCGGUGCUACCCGGUACCUACCCUGUAAGACGGGCGGGCCUACCCUGUAGCUACCCUGUAGUUCCUCAAAUCCAACGGCGGAGUUAUAGUCAUCUCUGAGCGCAGUAAUUUUUAUCACGCUUUGGCAGGUACCAUAAUUCUAGCCGUUAAACCCCCCAAUUUUUAAUGGUUGACCUCGGAUCAGGUAGGAAUACCCGCUGAACUUAA
Molecule: unclassified non-coding RNA, 302 nt
Filed under: Acrodontium sp.
Lineage: Eukaryota; Fungi; Ascomycota; Dothideomycetes; Mycosphaerellales; Teratosphaeriaceae
Description: partial contains 5.8S ribosomal RNA, internal transcribed spacer 2, and large subunit ribosomal RNA
Source: RNAcentral